Piliocolobus tephrosceles (Ugandan red Colobus) is the source of this 3505-nucleotide long non-coding RNA. Lineage: Eukaryota; Metazoa; Chordata; Mammalia; Primates; Cercopithecidae. The record is from Ensembl.
UUUUUUUUUUUUUUUUUUUUUUUUUUGCCUUUUAAAAGUAUAAAUAAAAAUUAUGUAAAAUUUGAAUGUGCAAUCGUUUUCUUGUGAAAACAAAGAAAAACAUUUCAUUUUAUAUAUUAUAUACAUUUUUCAGUUCUAUAUUUUGUUAUAAAUAUUUUAUAAAAGAAAAAAAAAAAGAUAAUGUUUAAAAAUGUUAUAAAUUAAAUUAAAAAUAAUGGCUAAUGAUCAUACAAAUAAUAAAAUAAAAGUUUUAAACGUUUUUCAAAAUGAAGAAACAACAGGAAGUGCAGGAAAAUUGCCACAUUCCAAUAAAUUUGAAUUUGAAAAAGGAAUAAUACGAAAUGCCAUAGUUUCAACAAACUUAAACAAAUUCAUAAAAUUAGAAGAAAAAAAAAUAGAGAAAAAAAAUUAUAUAAUUUUCCGUGAACAAUGUGAAUAUUGUUUAACUAAUUUUUCUGUUAGUGGUCAUUUAAUUUUAACAAAAGAAUCUUUACUAUUUGAGCCAGAUUUAAGAGACAAACAUGUGAUUACAUAUGGUUUAGGUACAUAUCAGAUUUUUAUUGAUUUAUAUGACAUUUAUGAAUGUGCUCAUAUAGUUGUACCAACUAAAGAUAUAUAUUUAUAUACUAAUGAAGAAACUUGUGGGUUUAUUCAAGUGUUAUUAAAAAGUAUUUAUAAUAGAAUAUGCGAUGAACCAUCAUUACGUAAUAGGAGUAGUUCCAAUUGUUCAACUAAUUUUAGCCCAACCAAUAGUGGUAGUGAUGAUACUACGAAUAAACAAAAAGGAGUAUCAUAUUAUAAAUAUAUAAGUAGAAGUUUAUCUUAUGUAUUUAAUUUAGCGCACCCAUUGAUACAAAAUACGUCACUAAAAGAUAAUAAACAUGAUUAUAUUGAUAGAUCUAAAACAUUAGUAGAUAUAUCUAAACAUUUGGGAAGUAGUAAUGAUAAUAAUAUUUAUAAUAAUAAUAGUAAUAGUAAUAAUAAUCAUAAUAAUAAUAAUAAUUAUAACAAAAACGAGUAUGAAAACUUAGAAACUUUAAACAAAACAAAACAAAAAAAAAUUAUUAAUUUUGAUAUAACAUCACGUAAAAAUAAUAAUAUCAUUGAUCAUUUGUAUGAUAGUGAUAUGAAAAUUUAUCAAAAAAUUAAUGAAACAAAUUAUAGUCAGAUACAUUCCUCACAUCCUAAUAUAACUUAUAAAAAUAAUUUUAAUUUGGCUAACUAUUCGAGUUAUGCUAAUGAUAUGGAAAAUGAUUCCAGUGGACAAAAGAAAGAACAACAACAUGAGGGACAGCAUGAUCAGCAGCAUGAGGGACAGCAUGAUCAGCAGCAUGAGGGACAGCAUGAUCAGCGGCAUGAGGGACAGCAUGAUCACCAACAUGAGGGACAGCAUGAUCACCAACAUGAGGGACAGCAUGAUCACCAACAUGAGGGACAGCAUGAUCACCAACAUGAGGAACAAAACGAGCAUCAACAAGAUUCACCAAAGGUGAGUAACAGUAGCAAAAGUUGUGUCAAUAGUGACAUAAAAGAAGAAAACACACAGCGAACUGAACUCUCAAACAGUCCAGGAGAAGAAUUAACGAAAAAAGACAAACCUAUUGAAGCAUCAGACAAUAUCAAACAAAAUAAAGAUGUUGACUUGCUCAAACAAACGCACAUAUUAGAUAAUAAUGAAAAGAACAAACGAGAAUAUAAUAUAAAAGAAGAAUGUCAAAUACCUUAUUCUAGUAAUCCUGAUGAAAAUGAUAUAACAAAGAAAACAGAUAGUAAUAGUUUUUCUAAUGGUAUGCCACAUAUUUAUACUAGAACAAAAACACUUAAAGACAUGUCUAUUGAUAUAUAUGACAAGAUUAUAAAUAAAACAACAUAUAACGAUGAACAACAUAUAAAAGAUCAAUUAAUAACUAAUAAAUUAGAACAACAGCAACAUAAUAAUAAUAAUAAUAUGAAUAAGUUAAAUAUUAUGAAAAAAUAUAAUACAUCACCAUCAUAUGAAGAAAAAAGUUUCAUUUUAUUUCGCUUUUUUAAUAAUAAUACAGCAUAUGAAACAACAAUUAAAAUAAUUAAAGAAAUUGAUGAAGUUCGAAAAACAGAAAAUAAAAUAAAAAAAACAAUCACAUCUGUUCCAUUUACAUCUAAUGAAUUGUUAAGGUGUAUUAUAAAACAAUCAUUAAUGGCAAAAGAGUCUAAACAACAAAUGAAGUUUGUUAAUGUAAAUGGUGAUAAUAAUAAUAAUAAUAAUAAUAGCAACAGUUAUAACAAUAACAAUAAUAGCAAUAAUAAAAAUAAUAAAAAUAAAAAUAAUAAUAAUAAUAAUAAAUAUUUAAAUAAUUUAACCUUAACACCUAAAUUAGUAUAUAUCAAUGGUGCAGUAAAAUUACUAAACAAACAAAUGACAAAACAAAUAAAUUAUUAUUUACCACCAACUUUAAGUGUAAAAAUGUGGAAAUUAGCUUUUUGUACUAGCAUACAUGGUGUAUCUUUCAAAACAUUAUAUAGAAGUGUUUAUAACAAAGGUAGUUUACUUUUAUUAAUUUAUGACAUGGAUAAUGUAUUGUUUGGUGUGUUUUUGGACAAGCUACAUUGUGGUAAUUGUUAUUAUGGUUCAGGUGAAAAUUUUUUAUUUACUUUUAAAAAUACAAAACAAAAAUUGAAGGAGACAACAAGUACUAUUGAUAACGAAAAAGCAAGUUACGAUAAUACAUCUACUUUUAUAGCUUCUGCUAUUGAUUCUACCACUACUACUACAACUAAUAACAAUAAUAUUAUUAGUGAUAGCAAUUUUGUUGGUGCAGGAAACAACUUCGAUUCUCGAAAAAUCAAAGAUACUUUAUACACAGAACAUAAUGACAUGAAUACCAACAAAAUAUAUAGUAAUAAUAAUAAUAAUAAUAAUUUAAAAUCUGCAAAAUCUUUUAAUGUAUCAUAUCAUAGUGAUUUUGAAAAUAGAUCAAAAUGCUUAAAUAAAUGUUCAACUAAUCCAGAUAUUAAUAAAACAAUAUUAGAAACAAAUUAUACGAAUAUAUUUAACAAUAAAACAAAUGAUUAUAAUAUUAUACAUCAAGGUGAUAAUAUUACUGGUUCCAGUAAUAAUCUAUUUAAAAAAAGUAGCAACAGCAGUAGUAGUAGUAGUAGCAGUAGUAGUAGCAAAAAUGUAGUAGGAAGAGGACGGUUUUCAAGUAUAGGUAAUGACUUUGAUAAAAUAAAAAAUAAUAAAACUGAAAUGGAUGGUAUUGGUAGUACUAGUGAUAAUAAUGACAAAGGUAAUGAUAAAAAGAAUGGUAUGAAAAACGAAAUUGAUAAUGAGUCUGCUACAAUUCAGGUUUACCCAUGGACAACCAAAAAUAGUUAUUUUGUAUAUUCAAAUGAAAGGUCUAUUACUAUUGGAGGUGGUGACAAUUGUGCUUUAGUUAUUAAUGAUGAUUUAUGUAAAGGUCAAACAAACAAAUGUAACACUUAUGAUAAUGAUUUAUUAACACAUAACGAUGAAUUCGAAAUUCAA